CUUGAACUAGAUAAGAGGUCCAGCCUGCCCAGUGAAAAUAUUCAACGGCCGCGGUAUCCUAACCGUGCGAAGGUAGCGUAAUCACUUGUUCUUUAAAUGAGGACUAGUAUGAAUGGCACCACGAGGGUUUUACUGUCUUCUUUUUUUAAUCAGUGAAACUAAUCUCCCCGUGAAGAAGCGGGAAUUUAAUUAUAAGACGAGAAGACCCUAUGGAGCUUUAAACAAACAACAUUUGCUGCACAUAACACUUUUACUUUUAAAAAGUAUAGCAUUAUGAUUUUUAGUUUUUGAUUGGGGUGAUCACGGAGCAAAAUGAAACCUCCACGCCGAAAGGGUUGUACCCUGAGCAAAAAGCUACAGCUUUAAGCACUAAGAAAUUAACGCAAUUUGACCCAAUAUUUUGAUCAACGAAC
This 413-nucleotide ribosomal RNA is filed under the name Boana diabolica. RNAcentral's name for it is "partial 16S ribosomal RNA". It matches the Rfam family "Bacterial large subunit ribosomal RNA", at positions 1833 to 2447 of the family's 2925-position model. Lineage: Eukaryota; Metazoa; Chordata; Amphibia; Anura; Hylidae. RNAcentral also lists the same sequence under 1 other name. The record is from RNAcentral.